CCUCAGGUCCUCAUGCCUGUCCUGAAAGCUGAGAUUCAGGCUUGUACCUCAUGUCCUGGAAAAAAUCCUCACUUUAAUAUACACAUUUCAAGAAUAUUUUCCAUGUUCAUAAACAUAUAAUAAGACUUUUAAUUUUAACCCCCGUACCAGAUCCUUAGGCAUGAGCCUUAAGGAAUCCAUGCUGUUACCCACGUUAUUUUAAGUCAGUGCUGCCUGACCAGCACCCUCAGAUUAUCCUGAGUCUUGCUUUUCUAGAUUGUUAACAUCUUGUUAAUCAGGCAAAAGAAGUCUAAAUUUUAGGUUAUUUUGAGCCUUUAUUCUUUUCUUCUAAGUCCAUUUGGGAUAUAAGACUGCUAGCAAUUGUGAAACCAAUGUUAAAUGAGCUCUUUAAUAUAUCCCUUUGCCAAAUUCUCUGUAAAACAGAUAAAAAUAAGAACAUACUGGUAUUUUAGACUGCUGUGUAUCUCAGGCUGGCCUGCAACGCCCAGCAUUCCACCUGCCUCUGCCUCUAGAAUUCUGGGACUAAAGGCGUGUGCCACCGUGCCAGGCAAAUUGGUAAUAUUAAUGUACUAAUUUAGAAAAGACUAACAGUUGUGCACGGUGGCACAUGUCCUGAAUCCCCAGCUCCUGGGAGAUGAAGACAGAUGUUCAAGGCCAGCCUCUGCAACUCUGUACCUGGGCUUCAUGAAAACUGCCUCAAGAAAGGAACACAAUAAAGUUACUUAGUAAAAAACCAAAAAGAUGUAAACUGAGCUGCAACAUUUUACUUAAAACUCACCGCUAUGUUAUCCCUACCCCCACCCCGCCCCCGACACACACCACGGGCUUUAAAAUGAAUUUUAUUGUCACUUACAUCGCAAGAAAAAAAAAUGGCAAAAGAAUAAUGAAGAUUAACGUACAAACAUAAGGCAUGGAAGAGAAAUUAGGUGUCCCACCGGUCCCAGGUUGGGUCUCGGUGAUGCACUUGUGCAUGCGGUAUGGUGGAGCGGGAGAGAGGAGCGAGCUCAGCGCGGCGGCCGGGUCUUUAAACACUGACCACGGGAGCCGUGGCCCCGCGAACCCCGGCUGCUCGUCCCGCGGAGGGCGCUCUGUCUGCUGCGAGUCCCCGCGGGCGCGGCGGCCAUCCCGUCCGGGGGCCUUCGGCGCCGCAUCAGGCAGCGCGCGGGGCAGCCCGGGGCCAUGGCGGCGGCGGUGGGCGUGCGCGGCGCGGGGCGCUGGUUGGUGGCGCUGCGCUGCCGGGGCGCGAGCGGGGCGGCCAUGUCUUCAGAUGCGCAGUGGUUGACGCCAGAGGAGAGGAGCCAGCUUAUUCCUGACUUGAAAGCAGCAGGGUGGUCGGAGUUGAGCGAGAGAGACGCCAUCUACAAAGAGUUCUCCUUCAAAAAUUUUAACCAGUUUCAGGGCCUGUGUGAUGAUGUCAAGUGAUGUUGGGGACGCUGGUGCUGCUGUCCACUGAGGAAGGGGGCUGCAGCCGAUGGCAUUGUCUUGGGGCUCUUGAUUCCGCUGUUCGUACCAGAUAAUAGCCCUGCUGCUUGGAAAGCACGGCGAGUUCCAGCCCUGUCGGGGCUAGACUGUUGCUAUCAGCGGACGUGCUUCUAGAAGUGCUGUGAUGAUUACUAUCAAAUAAAAACAAAUUUGACAUAAACAAAAACUCAAUGACAUAAGUUCCACCUCUGUACAUUGCCUUCAUGAGUAUAAAGCCCGAGGUGUAGCGUUUAGGGUUUGCGAAGUGCCUGAGUUGAGGUUACCAGGAUAAAGUGGGCAAGAGGGGCUCGCUUUAGGCUUAGCUGACAAGACAAUAAGGCUCAGGCGUUCGGGAAGUAUGAAGGUGUUUGUUUUCAGACGGCAUUGCUGGAGCUGCUUAAAUAGACUAAAAGUGGGUUAGGAGCAACGGCCGGUCCAUAGCUGCCGGCAGCUAUUGGAAAGAGGCCUUUCACGCUGCCUCCCCAGGAUUUGGGUCUUAUCCCCCCC
This is an RNA transcript of Rattus norvegicus (Norway rat), 1968 nucleotides long. It is a transcript of the gene named pterin-4 alpha-carbinolamine dehydratase 2, with no coding region annotated. NCBI's taxonomy places the organism in Eukaryota, Metazoa, Chordata, Mammalia, Rodentia, Muridae. The record is from RefSeq and is marked validated.